Photinus pyralis (common eastern firefly) is the source of this 3915-nucleotide long non-coding RNA. RefSeq lists it as uncharacterized. NCBI's taxonomy places the organism in Eukaryota, Metazoa, Arthropoda, Insecta, Coleoptera, Lampyridae. The transcript is spliced from 2 exons. The record is from RefSeq and is a predicted model, not a curated record.
UCCCGCAGCAAAAUCUCAAUCCCGAUAUUUGCGGGAUUGUUAGUUGUUAAUAUAACAAAUUAACCAACUUAAACAAUAUCUAAAUUUAUAAGAAAAAAACUAACAUUAAAGGGGAAAUUUAACAAAUUUUACAGAAAUUAUUUUAAUUGAACGUAUAACGGCUAUUGUCCUCCGAGAUAAAUUUUUGCAAACGAUAAGAAUGAAAUGAGAUUGAUUUCAUUGCGUUAACGAGAUUUAUCCAAAAUGGAGGAUUCGUUGUAAAGCGAGCGGUGGAUGAUGCAGAUGCACUUAUUGUUAAAACCGUUUAAUGAAUAAACAUCCGUAUAGUCGGCGAGGAUGUUAAUCUCCUUGUUCUCUUCCUCGCUUUAACACCAGAAAAUAAAGAUAUCUUUUUCAUAAAGCCAGGCAAAGGCAAAAUUAAGAGGAACAUUUUUUCGUCGGCAGAAAUCCAAAAAUUAACCGAAUGUAUAAAAAAUACAAUCUUACUGGUCCAUGCCUUCAGUGGUUGUGAUACCCAGUGUUAUUUCAGAAGGGUAAAUUACAAAACGAAAUUUAAUUGGCUAAUAUAGUGAGAACUUUCAAUGACGAAAUUCAACACUAUCAGAAGUAAGAAAGGGUGGUGAAGCCCUUGACCCUUAUCAUUAGGGAGCCCUUGGUUCCUUGAAAAAUAUACAGUGUUUCCCAAGGAGAACGCAGCAUAGGGAAACAGAAAUAAUGUAUUUUUUCGCGAAAGAUCCACAGGCCUUUGAAAUUAGCGUUCCACGUACCACUCCAAUCUCUUUCUAGCAUCAGGCCAGCGCAAUAACGUACGUUGAACUUUAACUUUAAAUACAUAUCAAAGGCCUCUUGGAUCCCUAUGGUGCGUUCUCCUUGGGAAACACGAUAUAAGUUUCAACUACUUCGCAAUGUUCUUAACUGAAGGAUCAUUUGUCCUAAUAAUUCUCAAUGCAAUCAAUACUUUUUUUCGUUGUUUGUCAAUAAAGCUUCAUUUUUCGAUUCCAAAAGGAACUGUAAAUAUCAGGUUAAAAAUACAUGUGCGAUUAUUUGGGAUAGAGGAACACUUUGUGAAGCAAUGUUUCGAAUUUACAUCUUUGGUUACUAUAUCUCUUCCAUAUACCGAGCAUCACGGCUACGUACGUAUGUAUGUAUGCAAUGGCCCUUUUAUUUUCCAAUAAAUCAACACGAAAAAAAUCUUUCCGAAAGAAUCUCCAUAUUCGUCGCUUUUAGUCGCAAAGGGAUGAUAAAAAGAAAUGGCGCCUUUGUAUAAAUAGAACGAAACCUAAAAAGAGUGUUUGUGCAUUAUUUGUUACAUAUGGCAUAAAAAUCCUUAUUUUUCAGUUACAUCCCUCUGUUGGACUGAGUGUGUAUAAGGGAAUAGCGACUCACAAUCUUCGUCUCAAGGAAAACGUAACGAAAACGAAAAUGCGUCUACCCCCUUCGGCUACGUGGAGCACUUGGGCGUCACAAUUGAAAGAGCAGCGAAAAUUAAGAUGGUUUUCAAAGCCCACCAUUGAUUAUAUACAUUGUGUCCCUAAACUGAAGUAAAAAUAAAGUUUAUCCAAGUGUGUUGUUGUUGACUGUCGCAUGUGGAUAAAGUUGGUAAGUACAAAAAAUUUCAAUUUUGUGCGCUGUCAAUCUAACACUUUCCUCAAUGCCACCGGAUACGAUCUCAAGCAAUAUUGGCAACCGUGCGACUGACAGCUUUACAUUUCUAUACAAGCUUAGGUGGACGCUUUCGCCGGAAAUAACCUUUCUUUUUCACCUUUUAUCGUUGAUUCCCGAUGAUACUUCAUUUAGUGGUUUUCUCGCGUUGGCUAUAAAUUCAAUUUGGAUUAAAUAAUUAGGAAAUGACAAAAUUGAAUGAGUACGGUGGAUAAGUUGAAAAUACUCGCUUUUGGGAAAUACAAAGGAAAUCUCGACGGGAAUAAGUCAGGCCGAAUUCCGUAGUAUAAUUGGAAACAUUGGUUAAUAGAGUCGAGUCUGUGGAUUUACCUCUAUCACAAUAUCGUUUCAGCCACAGUUUUUGGAAUUAAAACGCGAAGACUAUUGUUGCAGGAUCUCGCCGUAUAUAAUUGAAAAGUGUAAGAGAUAAUUCCAAUCCCGUCGGCGUAUAAAUUUAAUUAAAUAUAAAUACAAGUAGAUUUUAAAGUCGAUUAAUAAUCAAUUUCAUUUCAUAUAAUUCAGUCGAGCGUAACAUAAUUUCAUUUUGAUGUGUUCUGUUUGUAAUGAAGUUUUAGUUUCAAAAUUCCACGAAUUUGUUUGCUUUCAUGUGCUGUUCCUAUCUGAAAUUUAUACCGAAAACUCGAUAAAACUUUUUGAUUGUGUAACUAUCGACGUUAGCAACAAUGAUGGCAGUAAUGGGAAAUGAAAUUUUCCUUUUUGAGCGGAAAGAUCUUUAAUUUAAUUUACAUUUUUUUUUUCUGUGAGGAGUUGAGAAACACCACAUCGUAGUGUUUCCUGGCAGCAUUGAAACUGAUUUUGGUAAGUCUUGUUCAAGUUUCCCUGGUUUAAAAUAAACAUUUCGCUUGUCCAAUUGAUUGCUAUAAAGUUCGAUAAAUCUAUAUACAUUCAACUUAGUUUCGUGGAAUAUUUAUUGGGAUACAUGAUACAUCCCACUUCUGAUGUAAAAAUACGAUAGAUAUAGGAUGGGGUGAGGUGGUUUUGUAGAGUAGUUACACUUACACUCCUGAAUUGAUUAGUAUUUUCUACCGUCUUGCUUGGAUGUCAAGUACGAAGUAUUUCUUUUACUUGGCGAGAUACACAAAAAAUUGUCAAAUAUAAUUUGAUAGGUAUGUGACACCUGUCACUUUUGAGGCCGCACCUGUCACAUUGCUAAAUGUCUAUGAUAUCUGGUGUCAUCUUAUCAACAUUUAUUGAUUUGACACGGCUUAUGUGACUUGUCACGAUCAUAUUUAUAAUAUAUAUCAAUGGGAACAACAAACAAGAAGAGAUAAAGUUAGCAAAUCGGAGAACUGGUAUUAAAACUGACAGAGAAGAGAUAAUAGGGAAUACUAAACAGAAACAUGGAGAGUCACAAAUGGAGUUAAUAUGAAUGGGGGAGAAGGGGCCUCGUACUGAAUCAUAUAAUAAAUGAAAAGCAAUGGAAGAAGUAAAAGAUUCAUCGUGAGAACAAUGACGGAAUAGGAUCACCAGUCGGUGGAGUUAAUUUUAAAAUAAAAAGUAUGAAUGGAAAUCACUUUAACAUCAUCAAGACAAAAGAAUGCGCAAAUAUAAAUUAUAGAAAGGCUGGACAAAUGAAAAUAAGAAGAAUGUGAGAACACAACGUACUUGUGGAAAGAGAUGAAGUAGGAAAAAAGAGGCUUGAACUUGGAACUUUUCCGGAAAUUUAUUUUUACAACCGUACCGGAUUUAAAUCUUUUGCCUUUUUGCACUUUCGCCAAUGGCAUUUCUUUGCGUCCGUACCGUUUCACUUUGCUUUGCAAUUGAGUUGCCGCACCAUAUUUUUUGGAAUUGGCUUUUAGGGAGGGUUUGCUACCACUCCGUUAAUUUCAAGGUAAGUUUUUUGUUACUUUACGUUCAUAGGAGGGGGGGGGAUAUGGUUCGCUUCCCCGUAAUUACUUUUCGGCCGGUUUCGCUGAUUUAUGUUUAGCUUUUAUUCCCGCCGUAAUUUUGUUUUAAUUUUCCGAAGUGACAGCCGCCAUCUUCUGAACUCGUCCGAUCCUGGGAACGCCGUUCUACGUUCGAGUUACUUGGAGCCCCCGACAAGGCCGUUCCGAAUCCUGACCAGGAGCAGGGUUUCCGAAAACCUACUGGUGGCGCCCGAAGCAUUCCCGUUCCGCCUUUUCUUGCCACAUUUCCACCGACUAUCGCCGCCGUCACCAUCUACAUAUUUUGUAUUAUAAAUUACCGCUGAAUGUUUUUUGUUCUUUCUAUCAUUAAAUUUCAUUUUGUAAU